GCCCAUGUGGCUCAGUGGUAGAGCACUCCCUUGGUAAGGGAGAGGUCGGCAGUUCGAUCCUGUCCAUGGGCC
RNAcentral lists this transfer RNA (72 nucleotides) under Paraburkholderia sp. BL17N1. RNAcentral's name for it is "tRNA-Thr". It matches the Rfam family "tRNA". Rfam says of the family: Transfer RNA (tRNA) molecules are approximately 80 nucleotides in length. Their secondary structure includes four short double-helical elements and three loops (D, anti-codon, and T loops). The record is from RNAcentral. Lineage: Bacteria; Pseudomonadati; Pseudomonadota; Betaproteobacteria; Burkholderiales; Burkholderiaceae.